UUGAGAGCCUCGGAAACUGAAGUCUUCUAUUUGUCCACAAAAUAGGCCCAGCACGGGAAGCAGCUCUGAGCUCCCCUCAGCUCCCUUUUAUUUAUGCCCUUGCAGGACCCCCCUUGCUCCUCUUCAUGCAAGUUGGGAAGUUUUGUAUUCAUGGCCUAAUCAGUCCUUUGCCUCU
RNAcentral lists this small RNA (175 nucleotides) under Crocodylus porosus (Australian saltwater crocodile). Its description in RNAcentral is "TUC338 (ENSCPRG00005001156.1)". Lineage: Eukaryota; Metazoa; Chordata; Crocodylia; Crocodylidae. The record is from RNAcentral.